Molecule: non-coding RNA, 89 nt
Organism: Parasteatoda tepidariorum (common house spider)
Lineage: Eukaryota; Metazoa; Arthropoda; Arachnida; Araneae; Theridiidae
Source: the annotation of a RefSeq genome assembly
GCAGUCGUGGCCGAGUGGUUAAGGCGAUGGACUCGAAAUCCAUUGGGGUUUCCCCGCACAGGNCACAGGUUCGAAUCCUGUCGGCUGCG